Molecule: ribosomal RNA, 649 nt
Filed under: uncultured Bacilli bacterium
Lineage: Bacteria; Bacillati; Bacillota; Bacilli
Description: bacterial SSU rRNA
Rfam family: Bacterial small subunit ribosomal RNA
Source: RNAcentral
AGGAGCUUGCUCUUCUUGGAAGAGUUGCGAACGGGUGAGUAACGCGUAUGUAACCUGCCUUGUAGCGGGGGAUAACUAUUGGAAACGAUAGCUAAUACCGCAUAACAAUGGGUGACCCAUGUCAUUCAUUUGAAAGGGGCAACUGCUCCACUACAAGAUGGACCUGCGUUGUAUUAGCUAGUAGGUGAGGUAACGGCUCACCUAGGCGACGAUACAUAGCCGACCUGAGAGGGUGAUCGGCCACACUGGGACUGAGACACGGCCCAGACUCCUACGGGAGGCAGCAGUAGGGAAUCUUCGGCAAUGGGGGCAACCCUGACCGAGCAACGCCGCGUGAGUGAAGAAGGUUUUCGGAUCGUAAAGCUCUGUUGUAAGUCAAGAACGAGUGUGAGAGUGGAAAGUUCACACUGUGACGGUAGCUUACCAGAAAGGGACGGCUAACUACGUGCCAGCAGCCGCGGUAAUACGUAGGUCCCGAGCGUUGUCCGGAUUUAUUGGGCGUAAAGCGAGCGCAGGCGGUUUGAUAAGUCUGAAGUUAAAGGCUGUGGCUCAACCAUAGUUCGCUUUGGAAACUGUCAAACUUGAGUGCAGAAGGGGAGAGUGGAAUUCCAUGUGUAGCGGUGAAAUGCGUAGAUAUAUGGAGGAACAC